UCCCUGGUGGUCCAGUGGUUAGGAUGUGGCACUUUCACUGCUCUGGGCCUGGGUUCGAUCCCUGGUCAGGGAA
Non-coding RNA from Lipotes vexillifer (Yangtze River dolphin), 73 nucleotides. The record is from the annotation of a RefSeq genome assembly. NCBI's taxonomy places the organism in Eukaryota, Metazoa, Chordata, Mammalia, Artiodactyla, Lipotidae.